Molecule: long non-coding RNA, 2248 nt
Organism: Homo sapiens (human)
Lineage: Eukaryota; Metazoa; Chordata; Mammalia; Primates; Hominidae
Exons: 2
Source: RefSeq, a predicted model, not a curated record
AAGACACAGAGAGUGCACCCAGAACACAUACCCCCAGGAGACCUGCAGGGGCCAGGGCUGCCUGACAGACCCCUCCACGCCCCAUGUCCACAGGGUGAUGCCUCAUCACAACCGUAAAGGAAUGUCAAGAGGACAGAAUUCUGAGAACUUGGGGAGGAGGUGCCUCGAUUUUUCUGGAAGAAGGUGGCAGAAAGAGCAAAUCAAGCUAAGAGGGCCUGCUAGCUGGUAAGUAGCUCUGCAAAGAAUGGAGAAAGAAGGGCCCCACAGUCAAAGAUGCCCAGGAUAAUUCCUAUAGGACCUGCUUCAUUUCCCAGGCAAGGUGUGUCAUCAGCUUAUAUGCAAAUGAGGUCUUAACAAAUUAUUUUUAAAGUCAUUGGAAAAAAAUGCUUAGCUCGCCCAAUUUUGGUGGGUUCAGGACUUAUGUUCCAACAAUGCUUAUUACCCUGUAAAUCUGGACAUAAAACCAGCUCCAGUCAGGGUUUGAAUCAGCAUGAAUUCUAGGUCAGUGUAGGUCCAAAGAAGAGGUUUGUGCAGCCGGGGCUGAGGACACAGCAGCCUUAUCGCUAACUGUGGUUCUGGCCAGGGCUCUGCACAAGGCAGGAGCAGCAAGCUAGUUACACAGGGCCAGUGCCCUCAACCUGCUCUCCUGUUUUUCCUGUCCUUCUCCCUUCUACCAGGUGGCUCUUUCCUGCUCAGGACAGUGCUCUUGGACAGACCCUCCAGUGGGCACUUAAGAGGUAAGGCGCAGGUCAGGUGUGGUGGCUCACGCCUGUAAUCCCAGCACUUUGGGAGGCUGAGACCAGUGGAUCACUUGAGCUCAAGAGUUCAAGACCAGCCUGGCCAACGCGGUGAAACGCUGUCUCUAAUAAAAAUACAACAAUUAGCUGGGUGUGGUGGGGUGGACACCUGUAAUCCCAGCUACUCAGGAGGCUGAGGCAGGGAGAAUCGCUCGAACCCGGGAGGCAGAGGUUGCAGUGAGCCGAGAUCGUGCCAGUGCACUCCAGCCCAGGUGACAGAGCGGGACUCCAUCUCAAAAAAAAAAAAAAAAAAAUUAGCGUGGUGGCAUGCACCUGUAAUCCCAGCUUCUUGGGAAACCAACACACAAUCACUUGAACCAAGGAGGCAGAGGUUGCGGCGAGCCAAGAUCGCACCACUGCACUCCAGCUUGGGCCACAGAGUGAGACCCUGUCUCAAAAAAAAAAAAAAAAAAAAAAAGGGUAAGGGAACAAAAGGAGCUGGUAGAAGUGCAGUUCUCUAGGUGGGCAUAGUGGUGCGUGCUUGAGUCCUAGCUACUUAGGAGACUGAGAUGGGAGGAUCACUUGAGCCCAGGAAUUCGAAACCAGCCACCGCGGCAUAGUGAGACCCCACCUCAAAAAAAAAAACAACAAAGAAAAACCUUCCAUGAUGCGAUUAUUACGCAUUGCACGCCUGUACCAAAAUAUCUCAUGCACCCCUACUAUGUACCCACAAAAAUUUUAAAAAGAAAAUUUUAAUGCAGCAAGUAUAUUUAAAAAAAAAAAGAAAAAAGUGCAGUCCUUAGCCUAAAGGGAAAGGACUUUUACCACGCUUCAGGCAGUUGACUUUCCCCUCUGGGUCCCUGCAAGUCCAAGAGGAGGAAAGCAGCCCUCAGGGAGGUUCUGAGCUCCCCUAGGAAGAAUGAUGCAUCUAGCCCAGUGGCAUCUCGUAUUAAUUAACCUACUGUACUAGAGCAGGCUUGGCUAACCAAGUUCAUGGUCUCAUUAAAUCCCUGUACAGGCCUGCCUCUUCCAUCACAGCCUUACAGCUUCUCAUGACAGAAGGUUCCUGAUGUUGCAAAUACCUGGGAUUUACUGUCACCUAGACCCCCCGGGUUCUGCUGAGACAUGAGAUCACAGAACAAGGGGAGCCACCUAAUCCAGUUCUCCCACUUCCCAGUCCUAGGAAACUGAAGCCCAGAGAUGCCAAAUGAUUGAGGUCCGAGGUCAUCCAGCAUCAGAGCCAGGAUUACACAAUCACUUAAAAUGCAGCUCAACUGUGAAAGUGAGGAGGGAGAAUAUAAGUGUGAGUUCAUGACCCGCCAUCCUCAGGGGAAGCCUGCAUCAUGUCACCCCCGCCAGGUGACGCACGUGCACAUGCCUCUGAUCUAUCUACCCUGCCAGCUACAGAAAUCAAGACAAAGCCUGGAAUCUACCAACCUACCAGCAUCUCCAGCAGGAAGGGUGGAGAGGCAAAAACAUCAGGAUUAAAGCCAGGUGGCCACAGUGCUGCA